GACGAACGCUGGCGGCGUGCCUAAUACAUGCAAGUUGAGCGCUGAAGGUUGGUACUUGUACCAACUGGAUGAGCAGCGAACGGGUGAGUAACGCGUGGGGAAUCUGCCUUUGAGCGGGGGACAACAUUUGGAAACGAAUGCUAAUACCGCAUAAAAACUUUAAACACAAGUUUUAAGUUUGAAAGAUGCAAUUGCAUCACUCAAAGAUGAUCCCGCGUUGUAUUAGCUAGUUGGUGAGGUAAAGGCUCACCAAGGCGAUGAUACAUAGCCGACCUGAGAGGGUGAUCGGCCACAGUGGGACUGAGACACGGCCCAAACGCCUACGGGAGGCAGCAGUAGGGAAUCUUCGGCAAUGGACGAAAGUCUGACCGAGCAACGCCGCGUGAGUGAAGAAGGUUGUCGGAUCGUAAAACUCUGUUGGUAGAGAAGAACGUUGGUGAGAGUGGAAAGCUCAUCAAGUGACGGUAACUACCCAGAAAGGGACGGCUAACUACGUG
Molecule: ribosomal RNA, 497 nt
Filed under: uncultured bacterium
Lineage: Bacteria
Description: partial 16S ribosomal RNA
Rfam family: Bacterial small subunit ribosomal RNA
Source: RNAcentral